Molecule: ribosomal RNA, 446 nt
Filed under: uncultured bacterium
Lineage: Bacteria
Description: partial 16S ribosomal RNA
Rfam family: Bacterial small subunit ribosomal RNA
Source: RNAcentral
CCUACGGGAGGCAGCAGUCGAGAAUCAUUCACAAUGGGGGAAACCCUGAUGGGGCGACGCCGCGUGGGGGAAUGAAGGUCUGCGGAUUGUAAACCCCUGUCAUGUGGGAGCAAAUUAAAAAGAUAGUACCACAAGAGGAAGAGACGGCUAACUCUGUGCCAGCAGCCGCGGUAAUACAGAGGUCUCAAGCGUUGUUCGGAAUCACUGGGCGUAAAGCGUGCGGAGGCGGUUUCGUAAGUCGUGGGUGAAAGGCGCGGGCUCAACCCGCGGACGGCACAUGAUACUGCGAGACUAGAGUAAUGGAGGGGGAACCGGAAUUCUCGGUGUCGCCGUGAAAUGCGUAGAUAUCGGGAGGAACACUCGUGGCGAAGGCGGGUUCCUGGACAUUAACUGACGCUGAGGCACGAAAGCCCGGGGAGCGAAAAGGAUUAGAUACCCUGGUAGUC